GAAUCACAGGGUUAUGGAUAUUCUAUAAAUACAUAAGGUCUGGCUCGGGAUGGUUGUUUCCUGUGAUUCUACCCCAAAAGAGAUCUAAUUGAUGGUCUACUAGCCUGUCUUCCUGGGUGAUGGUAAAGGUAUCAGGUCCAUGAGGGCAUCCUAGGAGUUCAACCAUUUCUCUGUGGGUGUAGCGGUAAUCCAUAUCAAACAACCUAAAAGUGAUUAGGUCUUUGUUAAGUCCAAUACCAUGGUUUGGCAGGUGCACCAGGAAGCUUAGGAAUUUGGUCCGCUAUCG
This 286-nucleotide long non-coding RNA is filed under the name Lathyrus oleraceus (garden pea). RNAcentral's name for it is "Pisum sativum (pea) long non-coding RNA (PSAT_LNC005428)". The record is from RNAcentral. Lineage: Eukaryota; Viridiplantae; Streptophyta; Magnoliopsida; Fabales; Fabaceae.